UAGGGAAUCUUCGGCAAUGGGGGCAACCCUGACCGAGCAACGCCGCGUGAGUGAAGAAGGUUUUCGGAUCGUAAAGCUCUGUUGUAAGAGAAGAACGUGUGUGAGAGUGGAAAGUUCACACAGUGACGGUAACUUACCAGAAAGGGACGGCUAACUACGUGCCAGCAGCCGCGGUAAUACGUAGGUCCCGAGCGUUGUCCGGAUUUAUUGGGCGUAAAGCGAGCGCAGGCGGUUUAAUAAGUCUGAAGUUAAAGGCAGUGGCUUAACCAUUGUUCGAUUUGGAAACUGUUAAACUUGAGUGCAGAAGGGGAGAGUGGAAUUCCAUGUGUAGCGGUGAAAUGCGUAGAUAUAUGGAGGAACACCGGUGGCGAAAGCGGCUCUCUGGUCUGUAACUGACGCUGAGGCUCGAAAGCGUGGGGAGCAGACAGG
This 429-nucleotide ribosomal RNA is filed under the name bacterium. RNAcentral's name for it is "partial 16S ribosomal RNA". It matches the Rfam family "Bacterial small subunit ribosomal RNA", at positions 355 to 776 of the family's 1533-position model. The record is from RNAcentral.